UGGGGAAUAUUGGACAAUGGGCGCAAGCCUGAUCCAGCCAUGCCGCGUGAGUGACGAAGGUCUUCGGAUUGUAAAGCUCUUUUUGGCGGGGGACGAUAAUGACGGUACCCGCAGAAUAAGCCCCGGCUAACUUCGUGCCAGCAGCCGCGGUAAUACGAAGGGGGCUAGCGUUGUUCGGAAUCACUGGGCGUAAAGCGCACGUAGGCGGAUUUGUUAGUCAGGGGUGAAAUCCCGGGGCUCAACCUCGGAACUGCCUCUGAUACUGCAAAUCUCGAGUCCGAUAGAGGUGAGUGGAAUUCCUAGUGUAGAGGUGAAAUUCGUAGAUAUUAGGAAGAACACCAGUGGCGAAGGCGGCUCACUGGAUCGGUACUGACGCUGAGGUGCGAAAGCGUGGGGAGCAAACAGGAUUAGAUACCCAAGUAGUCCCUGAGCGGGCUGGCAAGGCGCAU
This 449-nucleotide ribosomal RNA is filed under the name uncultured bacterium. RNAcentral describes it as "bacterial SSU rRNA". It matches the Rfam family "Bacterial small subunit ribosomal RNA", at positions 355 to 825 of the family's 1533-position model. The record is from RNAcentral.